Gasterosteus aculeatus aculeatus (three-spined stickleback) is the source of this 22917-nucleotide long non-coding RNA. The record is from Ensembl. Lineage: Eukaryota; Metazoa; Chordata; Actinopteri; Perciformes; Gasterosteidae.
ACUCUUUUUUGUUUUUCCCUUUUGACUAUCAAGAGGGGAAAUAGGCUGAUGCUUUUGAAACUGUUGGUUACAUUUUGAGUGAAAGAUACAACUUAAAACUUCCUAAAGUGUGAGAGGAAAAUGGUUUAAGAGUCCAGCUUAUCUUGAUUUUAACCAUGAUCCAGAUGUUCAUUGUGUCAGGGUUGGGGGUGGAAGGCAGGACUCAAACGCAGACUUUUCCAAUACAAAAAGACUUUAAUAGUCAAAAGGUCCAAAAUCCAAGGGGCAAAAACACUCAGGCAUGAAACUAUGGGCAUCCAAGACAAAAGACAGGACAAGGACAUGCGUGGCAAAAGACAAUGACGCGACCAGAGACACACGGCUUAAAUACACAAGGGAGGUGCAGGUGAUUGGAACACAGGUGGAAACUAUUAGACGAACACAGGGGAUGACGAGACAAGGCAGGAAGUGAAGUUACCCGGGGACACGAGUGGCAGAAAACUACAAAAUAAGACAGGAAGUGAACCACACCGUGACACAUUGUGUCUGUUAAAUAAAGAUCCACGAUGGCUACGGUAAAAAAGUUGACUGAUAUAUGUUUGAUUUUACAACAUGUCCUUUAAGAGCAUUAUCAUAAGAAUAUACCACUAUGCAUUUGAUAGGAUGUUACACAACUUUUUUUGUUCUUAAUUGUAAACUCGUUCAUCGUAUUGUUUUUUAGCAGCAGAAUUUAUUUCAUGCUCGAGCUUGAAUUUCAACCAAUUUGCGAACAUUCCAUAUCUAAUUUUGAUUAAUAUAUCAUAGUAAAGUGCUCAACGUUGGUAAUUUAUGGGGACGUUGUCACUCUUAUCUUAUUACUACACCCACAAAAGGUAUACGGACAACUUUAAAGUACAAAAAAUGUGGCGGUUGUAAGCUGAAUCCUUGUCACUGAUUGGCUAUUGAAUCUCAUCAUAAAUUUGAUAAAUUGUUCUUAAAUGCUGACCCCCACAUUCCUCUAAAGGAGAAAAAGUCACUUUUAGCAAAUAACUUUUCCAGAGGCCUGCACAGAGGCCACUACUGUAAUGAUGUAAAUCUGCCACUGUCACAAGAUUUCACUUCUUAAAUAAAGGCGCUUUCUAUUUAUUCCCAGUGUUUACCUUCUUCUCCUUGUGAAAAUAAAGUACGAAACCCAUCAACCCGGCGGUUAAGUAGAACCCCGAUAUUGCCUUAGAGCCACGUGUGGCUUCCCCUCCUCUCCUGGCUGUGAGCACUGAUGCCGUGCCAGAGAACGGUGCUCUGCUGCGAUGUGCUGUUCCAUUCUGUUCCUGUGCUGUCCUGUUCCGCGAUGCCGGCUCCUCGCUAGGUGCCAAGUGAUUUUUAUCACUGGGAAAACAGUCUCCUUCCAAUCUCAGCCCUCUCAGGAGCAUAUGAAUACACUUUACACUCACACGAAGGAAAACAGGUAACUUGAGACAAGGCAAGGGCAAGAGCUGAGCGCCGCAGGUAAAAGGACUGCAGUGUGUUAGCGUGUGCGCAGUGUGGCAUCUGUGUGUGUGUGGGUGUGUGUGUGUUGGACUUGUUCACACUCAUGGAUCCCCUUUUAAUGAACAAGAGUUGUGUCUGCACAGUAUAUAUGCUUCAGUCUUAAUGCUGCACGUACAGUUAGCGCUGCGUUUCUGGCACAAAAAUACGCACAGCUAAACCUUGCGGCGGAAAAUGGAGACGGGCUGGGGACUGCUCGUUUUUAUUCCAACCUUUGUUUAUUCAGGGAGAGGCAACGGGGCAAAUUUGACCUUUUCCAGUGAUGUCACAUUGCCACACGGGUGCUGUUGUAUUGUCAAUGUCAACCGCACAUGGUGACAUCCUCGACACCCCCCAACACCUCGCUCAAAGACAAAGAAUGCAGAAGGGAGGGAGGGGAAGGGGUGGGGGGCAUUACCUAAAUUUCCAUCCGAUAUGAUUUCCAUGAGGUUAUUUUGACAAACAAAUGUAAUCCUGAACACCUUUUCAAAUCGUAUUUUCCACUCAUUGUCAUUGGGCGGGGGAGCGGUAAUCUUACCUCCAAUAUGGAAGCCUGCCCAAGCUAUUCCUACUUCCAACGCGUCAUGUACCAACGCGCAUGCAGUCUGAUACCGACACAGCGGGCUUUCAACCGUCAUUUUUAGACGCCGAAGUGACCAUGUGUGUGUAUGCAGAGCCUGUGGGUUGGGAGGUCGGGCUCAAACAAACAAAGAACUUUAUUUUUCAUGUAAAAAGCAUAUUUGCCUUUGUUUGUAAUAUAAAUAACUCUUUGCCAGUGUGAAAACAUGAAACUGAAAUUCCGUGCUUUUGCCACUGCCUUAUUAUUUCACAUAAUGAUAAUUUCCUGACCCUCAUAUAGAUAUUUUGUUUAAAUUAACCUGAAUACUAAGUAAUCCUAUUUGUUCAAAUAAGAUUACCCGUUGGCAUUAUUUGAUGAGUUGGAAGUGACAAUGUGCGCGUGAUACGUCACUUAGCUGAAGCUUGGUUAAGUCUCAAGAGUGCAUGGAAAAAUUGCAUUUUCAGUUACAUUUUAUUUUUUUGUGUCUAUUCUAAUCAAUCAUUUAAGUACCUCCCAUUCGCACAAGGAAUUUUAAAUAUAUCACAUUAGAAUUUUUAAUAUGGCUUGAUGAUGGCUAUAUUAUUUCUCCAAUGCAAAAACCUACUGUUAUAUUUUCUUCAUCAGAGUUGAUAGUGCAGCUUGAAAAAAACUGUCAGACAAUACAUGACAUACACACAGUGCAUUAUCCUGUUGCUUGGCACUAGAGAGGGUCCAGAAAUCUGUACGGACAAAUGAAUCACAGAUUUACAUUGCAGAAUGGCAAAAUCAAUCCAAGGAAAUCAUUUCCAUGUUUGUUUUAAUCAAUUAGAUGGAAAGGAGAAGUUUGGAAGGCAGCCACCACUCUAACAUGGAAACUUUGUGUCCUAAAACAUUGAUGGUGGAGUAAUAACCACCAUAGUUUCUGACCCAAACAAGGCGUGUCAAAGGCCGUCUCCUCAUCAACUUGUGUUUAUUUAAAUUCAGAUUUUCUUUUUUACACACACAUGUCCAUUAAUCCCCAGUAAUGCGUCUCCAUCCCUCCUUCGCCCUAUCCUCCCCUCCUUCUUUCACCAGGGCCGUUUAUUUUAGAUUUUUUGAGGAAAAAUCUGCAAUGAAAUGAAAAUAAAGGUAGCUUUACUCUCAUAAUAUUUAGAGUGGAGAGCAAUUUAUUUUCCUUUUAUUAAAUGCUGAUUAAUAUGCAGUGUUGGGGAGACAAAUAUUGCAGGUCUCAUUUCCCCAGUAUCCUGUGCUGAGCGGCUCAGGCUCGGAGGUGGAACCGGCCCUAAAUGGGCUGCAGAUAUGGAAGUCUGGUUUAAAUUAAAGUAAAGAAACUCCUUUUUCACCGUUCCCUUUUUCAGUCUCCUCUUCCGUCAGUGUGUUUUUUUGGCGGGAUUAGGUGUGUCUUGUUUUGGGUCCGGCCUUAAUGACGAUGCUGCGAACAUCCAAACCCUCACCGCUCUGGUUAGAUUUGCAAGAUCUCACACUGUAUUUGAAUGUAUUCAUCAUGUUGUCUUACAUACAUUGGGAUAUGAAUGAAAGAGAUCCAGGCUGUGAGUCAGUGAGUCUAAAAGGUUUCAGAGUAAAUGGGCAGAAAAGUAAACUUUAAUAUUUAAAAGUAAAAAUUAAUAUUUUUAUUUUUUUACUUUCCUCGGGUACUUGACUUGAUUAAUUAUUGGGAAAAGCCAACUGGCUGCAAACAUUGGUUAUUUCUCAUGUAAAACUCAUUCAUCAAAAAUAGUAAAACCAGACUCUCAAUUUAGUCUAAUGCAUUAGUUUGCCAAGAUAUUGGCCAAUACUCUGCCUUUAAUAUGAAUCCAAUUAGUCCAUGUCCUACAUCAUUGUCUCCUUCUUAUCGUAUGACAAAGAUCAGGAUAUCAUUUUACUGCCUUUGGGUUGCUACAACUACAAAUCAAAAGCAAAACUCCCUCAGGAGCUGCUCACACACAGAUUAGUAGUGUGGGGUUAAGUGAAGAGAUUUAGUGUCCCAUGAUGUUCUGACAGUUGUGUUUAAUCCAGGAGAGAAUAACAGGAGAGAUGGAAGAUUAAAGGUGUUGGCAGUCGGUGUAGCACCUCAAAUUCAUGUCCCAUCUAGUAUUCGUACCCUUUCAAAAUGUCUAAACUCAUCAGCUUCAAUUGUAGCUACCGUUUCACAAAUUAAAUAGGUCUUGAUGAACACACUGCACAUUACCUACCCAGCACAAAAGGGCACACAGACACAGAUACUACUAAAUUAACAUAAUAGAGUUUUUAGCCACUAGAACCACAGGUAUUUUAAUCCAGAGUUUUUGGAGACCACAGUACAGCCGUAAAGAGAGUAACCUAGAGGUAGUUAGUCAAGCUACAUCAGUCGUUCAACACUAAUGUCCAAAUCUUACAUUGCCACAAUUUACAAGGAGAUCUUGUAUAUAUACUGCAUGUAAAAAUCAUACCACCACAGGUCACAUCUGUUUUUGGUGAAGAGACAAAAACUCAACAAAUCACACAAAAAUUGCACUGGUGUUCCUUUGCAAAUACACAACACUUGCGCAUGCAUGGAACACCACAAGAUGGGAACCCGGUAGGGAGCUCUGACUCACGUCGUUUGGGUUUGCAACGUAGGUUGGCCCGUCACGUGAAAGGCUGUCCUGGAACAACUGGCUGUUUUAACAGGCCUCUGAGAGAUGCCCUCUCAUUUCCUCCUGGAAAAGCUGAUCAAUCACAGCUCUCAUCACCUUGGAGUAAGGGAGAAACAGAGUUGUGGGUGGACUGGUCUGGGACAAAGCAAAAGGUGAGAUGGGUGAGGAAUUGAGGAUUCUAACAGUGUUCAUGCCUCAUCAGACUGAUGAGAGGACAGAGGAAAUUAAAACAGGGCUUAAUGAGCACAUUGAAAUGACAGCUUAUACAGUACAGAAUGUACAGAAUGUACUGUAUUAGCUACGUACUACAGCCAUUAGCCCAUGUACUAAAAUAUCCCCGUUUGGAAUUUUAAAACUGGGCUGAAUCACGGCAGUAAAACCUACAAGUUUCACCUGAAGAAUCUCAUAUGUUCCCUCUGUAUAGUGAACAACCGAAAUAAUAGGAAAGGAUUAGACGAAGACAAAAGAAGACAUUGAAAAAAAUCGGAAUUUGGCUCUAAAUCGAGAUUUCUCCCUCCCUCCCCAAUUUGUCUCUGUGAGUGUUUUACAAGAGCUAGAUGAAUUGCUAAAGGUAACAUCCAUCCAUCAAUGGGGAAAGAGGAAUGUUGUGCUCUUAGCGGUUCUCCCUCCACCCGGCCGACACUUAAAACAACACAUUGUGCCAGCAGCUCUUGAUUUCCACUGGUUUAACACCAUGUCGUUUUUCAAGCGAGGGCUAUCAGAAGCAUUUAGACUGAAAGCAGAGCAGACCCCUGUAGCCUACUAGCCCCUGCCUUCUCUGACUCAGACCAUACUCAGCUCCAAUUUGUCCAGACAUGGGCCAGUGUGUUGGUGUGUGGGUGUACUGGGAUAUUGUUCCAUGCAGAUGUAACACUGCAGGAAGCACUUUGUUGUACUUUUUUUCACGGUGGGCACUACAACAGAAUAGAUAUCUUGUAAACAGGCACACUGAAAUUCUUAAUCUGAUUAAUCAAAUAAUAGGGAUAAUGUAUCCGUUUAUGCUAUUUAACAAUUUCACCAUAUGUUUCAGCUGCUACAACAUUAAGCUAUCAGGCUGCCAUGCUUUUUGACUAAUUUUGUAUAAUUGAUUGUUAUUUGUGUUUCUCGACAAACGAUCAGCCUAUUGACUACAUGGAAGCUUGGUGAAAAAAACUUUAAAAAAGUGUUUUUACUCUGCUUUUAUGUACACGCACAUCUCAUCUUACACCACUUUGUCAUAUUGCUUCAACAAUUUCUGCGUUUGGUAGGGACUAUUUCACAAACCCUUGGGGUGAUUGAGUUUCUCGUGUGAAUCCCAAUGGCCACAAGACUUUCCCUUAGUGUGAACCACAGGUUGACAAUAUUGUGUCUUUGGAUUGGCCAUUAUAGUCUGAUAGCUGCUGAUGUGGCUGAAGAAUCUUAAUCUUUCAGCAGUAUGCAGCGGCAUCUCCUGAAUAUUGGCUCUUUUGUAAGGAUUCCUGUCUAACCCUGGUGUUUUUUCCCUCUGUUUCCCACAUAUACUCUCCUGAUGUUGAUGUCAUUCCCAUGUUUGUUAUUGUUUUGCCAUGUGCUUGUGUUUUGGUUUCUGUGUCCCCAGUAGUGUCCUCAGAGUCCCGCCCAGUGCCACGCCUCCUCCAUUAACACAACUGUGCCUUCUCGUUAUCCCAGCUGACAUAAAUACUCUAGCUUUCCUCGCUCCAGCUGUCAGUCCAUCCGUUAAACCACCCCGGUAUCUCGGCGCAGUGAGUUAUAUUGUUUCAGUCCUGUGUGAUUCCGCAAUAACUGCUUGUUUUUCACUCUUGCCGUCCAGCGUCGAACCUCGGGUAUUCACCUGGCCGAAGAGGUCGCCAGUUCCUUCCACGGAGAUCAACUGAGCACCUACCUACCCCUGUGUCGAGCCUUGGGUGUCACACAAUCAAGCUGCCCUGCCUGCCUGUCUGCCUCCUAGUCAUGCAGCGGGAAAAUCACCUUUCUGAGUGAUUACGGAUCGGUGCGCACGGACGCGUCAUCACGUGGCCGAUUCGACUUGUUUCCUUUUUUCAGCCACUCACACUUGUGUGACUUGUGUCUCCUGUUGCUUUUUUUGUCCUGCCUGAUAAAAUAAAUUCACCUGUUGGAUUAAGAGAAACCUUGGUGGUCCUGCGUGUUGCAUUUGGGUCCGUUUGCAUAUCGUAACAUUAACAAGAAAAUGUUAAAGAAAGCUUUCCCUCUGGAACCGUUUUUACAAACUAUUGUUUCUGUGGUACCUUUAGCCUACAAGAUCUUGUGGACAAAUGCAAUAGAUGAGAUUCCUUGCAUGGCUGUGAUGUGCAAGUAGUAGACAAAUGUUUUCUACAAAAGCUACAGCUAAGACUUUUACUGUACAAUUGGCUUUAAGCUGGCGUUUAGGAUCUGUGCAUUGUAACCCUUGAGCCAAUCUCUCGUUAACUUGCCACCUCCUGUUGAAAAGAAAAGAAAAAAAAAUCUGCGAAAUGGAUCCCCAUUAUAGCUUCACGUAUUAUAGCAGACUUUAGUUUCAUAAGCUUUUGAAAAGUUUCCCAGGGGUUGCCAUAAUUUCUGUGGUUUAUUUUCGGAACGUUUACUUUUUCUUUCCACCUAAACGAUCCGUAUGGGCCCUUGAGCUCUUGAACCAUCUCAAUCCAGUUUCACACUCCUACUUCGGGGCACUUAAUGUAGUUGGAUAGCACGUUGGUAAAGCCAACGUCAAUCCUUAAAUAUCCACAAUCCCAAUUCCAAUUCUCGCCUCGUAAGAUUAAUGCAGCUUGAUUGACAUUCAGUGUGCAACGAGUAAUAAUAAGCAGGACAGGCCAGGCGGAAUGGGGGCCGAGGGCAAGAGCUGAGCUCAAAAACAAGCAGCGCUGGGCCUUGUCUGCCAUAACAUCUUGUACCCGAGUGUCGUGUUCUGGCAACCAAACAUAAUUCCUCAGUCUCUAUGUCUAGCUGUCAUUUCACAAAGCCUUUAGUGGAAAUCAUAUCCGUAAGUGAGAAAACAGAGCAGAGAGAGAGGAUGGUGUAAAACAUGACUUCCUCCCCGCAGCUUUGCCCACAAGAGCUGUUAUGUGUGGUGUUUUCCUUUUGGUCAUGCAGAUAAAUCAGCCCGACGAGGACGAUCGCUGUCCCACAUCUUACCAUUCUGUCUCCAUUCCUAUUUCCAGCCAUAAUGCUUUCCUCCCGUCCCCUUCUCGUCGUCUCGCAGUGUUCUUCCUCCUCACAUCUUCCGUCUGUUCUUUCCUUCCUACAUUACUGCGUCACCUCUUUUGUGCGAGUCUGAGCCGCUGCUCCGACAGCCAGCGUGUAAUGCUACACCUCUGACCUGCGAGAGUCAGCAGACUGUUGUUUUAGUCAGAGAUUCAUUUCUCGAGUCUGCUGUGCUGAGUUUGUCAGAGAGCAAAUGAGCUCCGAUGAAAACCGAAAAGGGAAAUAUGGUUAAUGCACAUGAUUCAGCUGAGAUACAAUAGAUGUUUUGACACCUGAAUUUGAUUUAGUUCUCGACUUUUAAGUUGGGUCAGACUGUUGCCAGCUUUUUGAGACCAGAGCUUAUUGACAUUGCUCCCUUUACUGCAGCUAUAUGCGUACUUCACUGCACAAUGGGAUCAAUUAGUAGCUGGAUGCAUGUGACUUCACAAAGUCGCAUUAAUGUUAUACCUGCACAGUAUUUGGCUCAUAACAAUGGUAUGUUCUUAUGAGCAUACGUACCCCACAUGCAGCCAAGACCUGCCUCGUCAUCGUCAAGAGGGAAUGUCGUAAUAAAGUCACAUGGGAUGGAAAAUUAAACAUUUCAGCAAAUCUCAUCUCAUCGCUUUACAAAUCUUCAAUGAAAUCUCAUGACACGUGGAGCUGAAUCCAUUCAUUCUUCCUGCAUUCUGACCUGCGUUGGUUUCCAGCAGCGUGGUGGCCAUAGAUUUGACCAUGGAUGUGUAAAGAGAAGUGGAUACAAUAUUGGCGGAAGGUCUCACGUUCGUUCCAUUAAAGAAGUGGCGCAUGAAGGAAGCUCAUUCCCAUGACCAGAAGAAAGCCAACCUUUUAUAACUUUUAGCACAUUCGGUUUAAAAUAAGGGCUAUUCAAGUUUUUGUACUGGAAGGUUGAUUUACCAAAAAUGCAUUCCAUUAAGUUAUCUUUCUCAAUGUAAAUAUAUAGGGAAACUAGCAUUUUUGGCCGAAUUGGAUCAGGUGGUGGACCAGCGGGAUCUAAUCUAUGUUUGGCAACUACAUAAAACUAGCCUCAAAGACCUUUGCUCUUUCUGGGUCUAGUUAUGGAGAGUUGCACGUGUUGCUGUUUGGAAUUCUCUCACAACCUUCCCCCUUUAGUCUUUCACAUAGUGGAAAUCUGGGUAUCUUUCUCUCGAUGAUCGGCACUGCAGGGUUAACAUGAAAUACAGAUAUGAAUAAAAAUGGUUAUCUUUGUGAGAGAAGCUUUUAUAUAAUUCACUUCUUUCCUUUCCCAAUUAAUAUAUUAAAAACAUAUAUCAAGAAUCUUGCUGAUUGAAUUAUUAGUGUAAUGUAUAACGAUAUUCCUUUAUUAGUCCCACAAUGGGGAAAUUCACCAGAUCGCAGCAACAAAGUGCACAGUGCAUACAAGAUACAUGGUAAAUAUUCAUAGUCAGUACCUUCCUCCUCGUCCAGAACCCCUUUGGAUGUUCUUAUUCCCCUCGGAGGAAAAUGACUCAGCAUUUUGUAAACGAGUCAGCUACACUGUCUCCCGGAGUGUUUGUCCCUGUUCACACGCCAAUUCCUCCCAUCCCAAAAAAAUCAAAUCUAACUGCAGCUGCACUCUUUCGUAGCUUAAAACCCUGUGACUUCAUCUACAUUUACAGGUUGUGCCACACUGAAUGUUAUGUGUUUGUGUUAAGCAUCUGUGUUCUCAGCAGUGCCCCCUGCAGAGCACUCUAGCUGAGGCCCAAUUGACUCCCUGCCAAUCGGAUUCCUCUCAUCCUGGGCCAGACACUGACUCUGGCCAAUCAGAGUCCUAGCUCAUUUCCAGAGAGGAAGCGGUGACGGCAAUGGUGGGUAUCUGUUAGCAUAUAGGGCAGGGAAAGGGAAAGAUUCAUUUGAAGCCAAGGACUGAAUCUUGUAGAAAUAAACAGCCAACGUCUUCAUUUAUUUUGGCGUUAUGGCGAACUGAGCAGUUUUGUACAGAGUGCAAUAUGUUGUGUUUCAAAAAUGCGUAGAAUUAGUAUUGCAGAGAGUUUAGAAGAUCUAUGAAUAUCAUGUUGUGUUUUGUUCUCUGUGAAGUCAUCAAAUGAGUGCAAUGCGUUGCUGCUGUGCACCUAAAUGCCAGCACCUAAAACUGCAUAUUCUAUAAAAGACACGUUAUGAGAAAUAAUGAAUUUUCCCUAUGUCUCGUCAAAUGCACACAAUCGAAAUCACACAUGCACCACAAUCUCACACACCUAUCAGACAUGUUGUCAUCUUCAUCAAACACACACUAAGUUCUGAGGAUGUGUCACUGGAAGUCGGACUAGGGAAGAAAACACAGCAUUUAUUUUCUUACGAGGAAGACGAAACACAUCAAAACGAAACAUUUAGCCAUCAUAAUAAGCCUAUAUAAGCUUUGGUUCCUUAUGCACACAGAUUGUUACAGAUAACUUACGUGACCGUUGGCUAGCCUGUCUAAUUGCUCUGUCCUUUCUCUGUGUGACUCAUGUAGAUGUUGAGUUCAUAGUUGUGAUAACCGGGUUUUGUUGUUUCUUUACACUUCCUGUUGCAAGAACCAGAUUUAGAAUGACUAGAAGACAAAAGGACAGACCACUCUGGAAUUGGGACUCAUUCCUCCCUGAUUGUCUUUGGUCCACUUAGACUCUCCCAAUCAACUGCUUAGCUUUGGUGUGAAUGCACAUGAGUUCGACACACAGGUCCAUGUGAGUUAUAAGAGACUCAGGCACAGAGACAGACAGUAACCAUCCUGGACAGAGUGGAUCUGCCCCAGCGUGCCUUGCCAAGAUGUAAUUGGUUCCGUAUUACACAACGCGCAUUACACAGUGCAGUCAUUUCCUCAUGUCUCCCUGUCUUUCUGUCACUAACUGGUUCUCUUUCUCCCAUUAGCCCCUCCUUCUUUUGACAUUGCCCCUCACCCCCUCGUUGACUUAUUCAAAGAAUACAUUUGAACUGAACCAAUUCUGUAAGUGUGAUAUCUGUUAUUUCUAAAAAAGGCGAGUCACUAAAAGGUCUCUCAACACACACGCACACACACUUCUCUCAAUGUGUCAAGGCUUAUGUCUCUCGCCACCACGGUCUGAGAAACCUAUUAAAAAAAUAACCGCUUCUCUGUACAUCAGGGUACAUUUCAGAAAAUUCAGCGCGGAUAUACUGAAUGGGCAGUUUCGUAUUCAGAGUGCCUUUGCAUUAGUUUAGGUUUUUUAUGGUUUGGCGUGCGUUUAUUUUUCCUCUCCUGCGGCGAGGCACACAUGUUAUGGAGUAGCUCCCCCUGGCCCAUUUGUGUGGUUCUGUUUAGUCCCAAAAAUAAAAAAGGGAAAUAAAGAACCAAACCGGCUUGGUUAUGGUACCAGAUGUCUGGAUUCUUUUUUAGUUUAUCAUUUUUGUGGCUUUAAGAAAAAAAGAAUGUGAAAAAUAACAGGUGAUGGCAGAGAAAAUUAAAAUGACUUCCAGUCCAAGGAUUUUUUUUUUUCUUUGGUUCUGCAGAAUAAGAGCUCUGGUUUGCGGGUCGUUGUCUGGAGUGUUCAGCAAACCCACGGAAUGGCACAAUGACAAUGAAAUUCUGGUGCCAAAGCAGGUGUCUAGGCUCUGGUUUCAUGGCAUUUGGGGUGGCUCAUGGUCUUAAAUUCACAGGACCUCGUGCUGGAUUAAAUUGUUGGUCUCGGUCUGGGGUCGCGGUUAUGGGUUGAGCUCUGGGAGGAGAUUCUGCCUUGAUGCGUUUUGCUCCUCCACCGAAUGCUCAGAUUUCAGACGCUCUGGAGGCAAAUCCAGAUCCAAACGUGUGGAUCUGCGGGGCGAGAUAAGUGAAGGAGAACGGGAGGAAAAGGAGCCUGGAGGUGUGUCAGCAGUUCUGCAUGAGGGACCUUGGGCCAAAAAGAGAGACAAAUUAUAUGGACAUGAUUCAGCAAGAAACAGCAAAUGGAUGUAUGAUGGAUUGGAUGGUGAGGAGGAAAUGAGAAGAGAAGGCAUCAGUCAGCAGCUACAGUAGAUGGAGAAAAUGCGUAAGAAGGUGACCAAUCCAAUGGUUUUAAAAACAUACAGACUUUUGCACUUGUAGGUGGAGGUCAUGGCCAUUCCCUCUGCAGCCUUAUUGGAAACCAUCCUUCUCAUCUUCCAGGUCCUCUCUUGAUUUCAUGCAAACAUAGUUUUUCGAAGGCUCAUAAUUUGUUCUCUGUUGGUUUUCCUCUCCGACGUGAUUUUUUAUUCUCACAGUUUGAAAUGUUGGCAAACAUAGAACUUUUAUUGUUUUCCACCACACUCUUUCAACUUUCGACAUUGCUACUCAUACAUAUUUCAUUAUCAUAUUCAAAUUGCAGAACUACCAUUCCAUCAUGUUUUGAGGUAAACGGCACUAUCUGCACAUACUUUGUAAUUUGGAAAGUUGCUUGACUUUAAGGCUCAGUUCCCAAAAGUCUGAUUCUUCCUCUUCAACCAGUAAGUCCCCACGACUCGUCUGGCCUGCUAAGACAGACUUUGCGCCUCCUACAGAAAACCUGAGGUGCCCCAGUCUCAAAAUUCUUAGGUCGACAACAUCAUAUGGUGUGUCACUUUCUGUGGGAUGGCCAUAUGGACUACAGCGAGGCUUCGGAUGUCAGCGGAAUUUAUUGUCAUGAGCUGAGAGGAAACAAAAAUGGAAAAAGGUUUUGUUGUUCGGAUUUUGUUUUGCUUGAAUUAAAAAUUCUGAUACUUUUGCCCAUUCCAAAGUCACUUAGACUAAGGAUUACGACUGUAUAAAAUGUGUAUUCAAUAGGGGUGAUGGAACACUAUACUGCUAUACUGUACCUCUCGAAGGCAAAUGAAGUGUCACUUUAAGGAACACUAUAGGCUACUGUACCUCUUGAAAGCAAAUUAAGUGUCACUUUAAGGAAGCGUAUGAAGAAGAUAACCUCUCUUGGCGCCUGGUGUAUUGAAGUGCUCCUCUUCUGUCCCUCAUAGUGAUGGAAUGGAGUAACCUAGCUCUCCGAGCUUCAACCACCUGCUGAUGUUAGCCAAACAGACGAUGGUUCCUUGAUUAAAAUGUCCCCUGUUGCUGCUCAUGAACUUGACCGGGUCAAAAGCUGACGGCAUGAUCCAAUCUGUGUGUGUGUGUGUGUGUGUGUGUGUGUGUGUGUGUGUGUGUGUGUGUGUGUGUGUGUGGCUGGGGUUUGAGGGGAUAGGGGGUUAAAGCAACAGAAGUAUGGGUGUCAGAGAUGCAGCGAGGAAAAGGUGACGUGUUUUUAAUUGGAUAGAGGAAAAGUGCUUGGAGUUAGGUAGGAUGGCGGAUGCGUUGCAUACAAAAGUGGCCAGUCAUACUUUUAGUUUGGUUUGGCAGCAAAGUGCAGUGUCUCUUGAAUCCACAUUAACGGGUUGAGUGACAAGGAAUGUAGAACGGAUAAAAGUAGCUGUGGAUAAUAAGGACGUAGGAGAAUACACACGAUGGAACUUAUAGUUAAGUUUAAUGGUCAGUACGUCAGCGAUGUUAACUUUUAACACGAUGACGUCAUGCGCGCGGUGCGAAUAUACGGUGUUAGCACGCAGCUAACUAGCUAACAGUCUCUACAGAAUCGUCUUAGGCUACGUGCUUACCUUUCACGCCAGUCCGUUGUCUGAUCGUGAAGUCAGGCUGAUCUGGGUCCAACUGUAUUACCUCUAGUUUCUCCGGCAAAGGUCGGGUCGGUUCUUCUUGAAAGGACACUGCCGGUGGUCGCCCUCGUUAUGUUGUUAAACGGCGCGUCGCGAGACUCGCCCUGACGAUUGCCUAGUGUUAGAAAUUCAUUCAUUUAUCUUUAUCAGUGAUUGGCUGCUUCUUUCCGCUUUGGAACUGUUGUGUUUCAAAAAUAAAGAAUCUCCGGACGGACAGAAGGCAUCUUGUAUUGAAGAGUUAAAAUCAAAAAUAUUUUUUGAAAGAAAAGGUGUUGUGCUAAAAAGAACAUCGAUCAGCUGAAGAGAAGCUGGUCUCUGCAAUCAACCAGCCACAGGGCAGCCCAUUGACCACCCAUAGUGACUUUCUCUUGUCCUUCACCAGCGAACUCCUAGAACAAUGGGUGCCAACAGGUAUUUAUACAGAUUAGUAAAGGUGUGAAAGUGAAAGAGUAUUGCAUGCAUUGCGGUUGAUUACAUUACAUACAAUCAUAACUGUGCAUUGGUAUUAUUCUAUUCAUUACAGUUAUAAAAUUACAGUGGCAUUACACUAUUCUCAUUUCAUUAAUGGUUACAUAGUUUCAGAAUCAUGGCUGUAUUGUGGUGUACACUAAAUGCAUUUUAUUAAUUACUCAUUUAUGAACCGGUUCGUAAGUUUAUUUCUAAUUCUCUACAGGACCGUGCCCGAGCCCAGCUGAGACAUGCAGACAAGUGGAGAGGAUAUGCAAGAAAAGCAUAUAUUUUGCGCAGACAUCUUGAUUUACAAAUGUGUCCUUAAACAUUACUUUUGGUUGGAAUCCAAAUGCACUUAAUUAAAUGUAAUACAGAAUAUUUCCCUCUCUAGCAUCGCCGUUUUGGUUUAACAUUAAAAUACUUUUUUGUUAGCACGGGAUACUGUGAUAUUCUAUAUGUAUAUUAUUGCUAUUAUAUAUUAUAUGCACGAUAUCAGGAUCAUACUGCACCAUCUUUUCAUAAAAUACAUUUCAGUUGAAAACAUUCCUCAAUUUGAGUCACGGCUUGUCAUUAACUUGUCAUGGUGGGUCACGCAGCCAGACUACUGCCCAAAAUGUACAUAGCCAGCCUGGGGGGGGCAGAGAAGUAGGUGUUGAGGAGUUACUGCUUGAGGACGUGUUGCACGCGACUGCUGGGUGGUGGACUUAUACUUAGACUCUGACUGUUGUGGCGGGCAUUUUAUCGCUAUGGCUUCCGCGCUGGCGAGUCCUCACCUCACAUGAAGCUGUCUAUGACCUGUUAAACCCAGUUUAUAUCCAUGUGUGUUGGUCUGUGUGUGUAUGUGUGUGAGGUUCAUAGGGGUUGGUGCUGCUGUGCACAAGUUUGAAGCGAUGCCCAAUUAUGUAGAAAAACAACAGGUUUUGAAUUGUCUUGUCCACAGCGGUGAAACCAUAGAGGUAUGGUGAUGGCUAUGUUUAGCAAUCUCCCAGUUGGCUGGAAACUAAAUAAUGUCGAGGCUGUUUUUGGAUGUGUUUUUUUUUGUUUGACGCUGCACAUUCCUGCUGGAUAACAGGUUUUAACUGGUUGUUAUUAUGCCGGGUUGUGUUUCAAAUUCUUCGCCCUGUGUUCAGGACCCGCUCCUCCCUUUGCAGAGUGGAGAAUGUGAUUAGAAAACACUGCAGAGCCAUUCUGGAAAUCAAACAUCGGUAGAGGUCAACAUGCUCAUGAAACAUACUAAGGACUGAAAUGCCUUGUCUCCUUGUUCCUGAUGAUUUGAGCAAAGUUGGCAAAGCAAACCCUGGUGAGUUUCAGUUUGAAUGAAACAGUAGGUAUUUUUUCAUAGGGUUGACAACUCAGUUUGGAAAAAAAGAGCUUUUGUAGACGCUAUUAAAAAUCCGUUACUCUGCAAUAGCAAAUAAAAGAAAUCCCUUGACUCAAAUAGGAUCACUAGCAUUAGAGUAGUUUUGUCAGCAAAGCAAAAUUGUCUCACACUAUUUAAUAAAAAUAGAAAUAAAAAAACAACAUCUACCGGAGGGACAACGUUGAAUCAUAUUGUACAACUUGCAUGGUAUUUUGUACAAUUCUGCAAAUAACCUGCAGUGGUGAUGAAUACAUAAAGGUCGGCAGUUUUCUUGGACUUGAUACAGAGUAAUACUGGACCAGAAUCGCUUACAUCAAUAUAAAUGAAGUUUGGGCGUAAAUUCAGUCAGGAAGACUGGAGAAGCUAUGCCUGCCCUAGGGGCUAUGUGGGUAUGCCAUGAACUGAAACGGUGCCAUGCCCACCCCAACGCGUCAGGGCUGUCAACGUUAAAAGCUGUUUUCAUCUCUGCUGCUGUCAGUUGUCGUUUCAGCAAGCACCAGACGCAACCCUCCACCAACCCUGAGACCUCCAUUCAGCAGGGGAAUCUGGCAUAUCGAUAGAGUGGAGCAACUUAUUCUCUACCACCACCACCAGUAUCUGGACUCCCAAAGGGGGGAUAUGCCUCAUCUGAUCUAGGCAUCCCGGCCCCUGGUCUAUCCUACCGCUGGAUGGAGUCCAAGCCCCAACACUUUUAAUACUUGUGCUUGUGUUAAUGAAUCACUGUUAAAAGUUUCUCCUUAUUGAAAUACCUUUACCAAUCACAAACGCCUGAUGUACAUUCAUUUUCCUUUGCUUCCUCAAUUACUAAGUUGCUAAUUAAAGAACUUUUGAUUCACUUUUUUUUUAUUCAACAGUGCUUGGGAAUGAAUGCGAUCAAUGGAUGUUUUACAAGUGUGAAUCAUCACAGCUGAUGGUGAAUCAUCUACCAUCAACUGUGAAAGAGCUCCCUUCAUGCUCCUUUGCUUUCAUGUUCCACUCAGCCGCUGAGACUGGGGCAGACCAGAAGUUGUUUGCAGAGAUAGUUUAGAGCCUCUCCUUCUUUAGGCCACUAGACCAGAUUUUGGGAUAAGAAGAGUUCUGGUUUCCAUUUGUGGUCUUUACCGAUCACGCUGGGGCUGAAUGCACUGUAUGCUCAGCUUUAUUCUAUAAAGUGUCACUAGAGUCUGUGAGUGGAAUUGGUCAUGGCAAAGUCUCACAGUCACUGAGUGAGAUUCAUCAGCACUGAAAGAGUGACAUCAUUUUUUACCCAUACAUUUAAGUACCCAGCGACACCAGCAUGUUAAGCACCAAGAUCACUACUAAUUACAAAAUGAAUAGGAUAUUAGAUGAACUCGGUGCCCUCUCAGGUAGUACAUCUCUAAUUUUUUGUCAGAAAGGAGAGCACUUCCACAGGAGUUUUGUGGAAGCAGUCCAUUUAUCAGCAUUUAGGUAUCUAUUUUUGCAAUGAAUAAACAUAAAUCUGGGAAAUGUGUAAGGUGCGUCAAAAAACAAGACAGAAAAAAAUUGUGUCUGUCACCAAUUGUGUCUCCAAUUCAUCUCAGUACGUGCUGUGGGGACACUGUCUUUCUCCCAGACACAUACACACACACACACACACACACACAACCUUCUCUUCCUGAUACCACAUUGCUUUAGGUGGUAGUCGCAGUGCCUGCAGCGCUGAGGGGACCACACAGGGAGAUGGGUCCGGGCUCAGCAGAAAGGGAAGCACCAGCAGCAGCGUGACUCCGUCGCCCCCGGCUGCUUGUGGUUGUCAGCAGUGUUUGCUUCAGGCGGGAGUAGCUCUUUGUGUGUGUGUUCGCAGGUGUAUGGUGAUGGCUCUAAGAUCAGCAGACAGUGCUCGCUGGGAGUUGUAAACACCGGGUUGGCGUACAGGGCAUGAUUCAACACCACAGACUACAGGCUGUGUGCACGCUCGUAACCAAAGCUGUUUUUUAACACUUGUCUACCUUCAGAAAAUCCCACUUCAUUAAAACACUGUUGAUACAACAUCUCCCUCCACAUUCGGCCUUCAAGAUCUCCUUGGUGGCCUGUAGUCACUAAUCCGUAGCGCUCGAGGUCUGCACAGAGAUGGGAUUACCGUGGACGCGUGUGCAUGCGAGAGCCACAGUCUUACUUUUCAAAGAUCUGCGUGUCCGUGUUUACCCAGUUGUAAUUGGAGCGCAGGUAGGCACAGAGUGUGCCAUUUUGUCCUAAUCUCCUCCUGGGCAAUUUAGCCCAAACCAGCCCACCGCCCGCCCCCAAAAAGACCCUGCUUGACCCUGCACCUUGGUUGCAAUUACAAAUCCAUACAACACACACACACACACACACACACUACCAAAGCUGUCCAAAUCCAUCCUGUGCUAGACAGAUACCAGGACCCCCGUGGGCGUGUGUUUCCAGAGGACAUGUGACCUUAAUUGCUUAAGUCUUAAAUUAUCUUUAAUUGUGCUUCCCUGUGUUGCUUUAUGGUAAUAGAGGGGCGGGUGGAGGGUGGCAGGGUUCAUGUUGAGCUAUAGUUACAGCAGGAAACAGGCCAGUGAAAGGCCAUGUAGUCACCUCCAGCUGAGUCCACACACAAUCACACACGGACAAACUCGUGUUGUGGAUUGUAUGUAUGUACCUGCUGAGCUCUAAAAUUUACAAACAGUAAAUAUUCAGUCACAAGCAAUAUUUGUUCUAUGUCCAAUUUGUUCUCACCUACUUUUGUUGAGCUUUAUUUGUCUUUUCCUUUCUGCCUUCCUUUUUUUAAAUGGCAUCACACAUUAUGUUGACUUACUUUUGAUUAGGUAGACACAGCCAAGGCGGUCGAACAGGGAGGAUGUCCGAGGUUGUGUACUCGUCCAAGUUCUUUAGCUGUCUAGUGGAUGAUCAGUGGAUGAAAAUCUCGCUCUGGGCUCCAGCCAGUCAGGACUGAACCAUUUCCCAAUCUUCAUUUUGUUCCACUAGUGCAGAUUUGAUUGAUUUCUACUUAAAAAAUCCAUUGAUAAAGGUCUCUGUUGAGGUUUCUAUGCUUGAAUGAAGAGCAUUUUUAAUUUUUCCUAAUAGAGGCUGAGUAUCCACUGUAUCUGAACUGCUGCUUGGUCUCCAGAGUUUGAUGUCAACUGAGCAGUGUUUCCCUCCUUGAGAGAGAACAUAUGUCAGGGCUAAAUUAAACUAGUUUUUUCUGACCGGUUGAUUGAACCUUAGUUUAAAAGCAGGCGUCAAAGAACAGAUGCCACUGUCCAAACUUGAGUUUGCAAAAGGUGACUACCUCGUCUAGGGCGCUGGGAGUAAGCAAAAAGGAGGCUCAUGUUGUGAAGCCUCACAUAUUGUAAUAGAAAACAUUUAUCUUCGCUAUUUGGCUCAGCUGACCUUUCAGGGUCAAAAAUGUGUCACUCUCAUUUAAAUUGUUCAUUUGAACAUUAUUUUUGCCAGAAGUUCGCCAAGUGUUUUCCAAAAAGCUGUCUUCCCAUAGCUUCUAUUGGGAUUCCAGAAAACCAACGAGAUGAUUUCUUGCGCUGAUUCAGAGCAAGCGAACCUGCUUUAAAUUAGCUGCUAACAUUACUGGGACCACAGCUGAAGGGUUAGAGGGAUACACUAUAACGGCCGUGACCCCUUCACUCGGCAACGUACAGCAUGCGUCUGUCCAAAUAAAAAGUAUUCCCUUCCUUGCUUUGAGCCAUCAGUUAGCUGUGAUAAAUCCAUGAUGUGAAAUCACUAGUUGUUCCUCUCCAUAUCACACAGGUGGGUUUACUACAGCAGCAGCUGUCCCACUGACAAUCCCUCCGUGUCAACACGUCAGCAUAACCGCCGCCCGCCUCCCCCCGUCCUUCAUCGCGUCUUUUCACUUCAGAGGUCGGGAAGACGUUGGGCGACGACAGUGAGAGGUCAGAGCCUGACCGCCAUUAACCUGUCAGAGGUCAGGGUGUAGGCAGGGACCCGACGUGUUCCCUGAUGUAAACCCGCUUUCAGCGCUGGCUCAGUGAGGGCUGGAUGCAUUUGUAUUGAGUAUGCUGGUAUUAGAAAAAUUAAAGGGUUUUGAAGGUACAGAUGAACAAACCAGGAAACCAUGGGGAAACGUGACACUGACGAAAAGAAGCAGAAGGGGUUCACCAGAGGCAGAAAUAAUUGUAAAAUCUGUAAAAUUACAAAAAAGCCUGGUCACAUCUUUGCUAUGUAUGUACUUAUAUACUUAUAUAUAUAAUUGAACUGAUUUGUUGAAUUAUAUUAUAUUAUAUAUUAUAUUGAACUUGAAAAGAAUCUGGCUACGGUAAUUCACAGCAAAAUAAUACAUAUAAAUAUAGGAAGUAAUUAAAACAGAUAUCAUUAAACAUGUGGGUCGUCGUGGCGCAGGGGUUAGAGAAGGUGUGCUGGGAAGCACAAGGUUGUUGGUUCGAGUCCAGGCUGCCCCAUGUCCCCAUGUUCCAAGACACCUAAACCCUAAUUGCUCCCCGGGCAAAAAUGUGAAAAAGCCAUGGGUUUAAAGUGUAAUGUAAGUCGCUUUGGAUAAAAGCGUCUGCUAAAUGACCUGUAAUGUAAUGUAAAAACAAUAAAAUCGAAAUAAACAUAUUUUAUGCAUUUCUCUCUCUUAAGCAAGUUUUUCAGUGUGUGUAACCCAUUUUACAUACAUUGCAAAUAUUUACAGCACAACUUUUAAGCACAUCUUUGUUUCCUGUUUGAUUUUGAUUAUGAUUCUGCCUUACAAACAGGGUUAUUAUGAAGAGCAUUUUCAUAAUAACCCUCUAUGUCUUAUAUUCUCUACAUGCAUUGUUUUUACAGUAAUAUAUGUGAUGAGGGUGCACAUGUAAAUGUUUAGAGAGCGAUGAUACAGCAUGCAAAUAUCGACGAUAGAGACAACUUUGCAUCCCAGCAUAUUGGCUGGUAAUACUCUCAACAAUGACCAAAAAUUAUGUGUUACAACCCUUCUAUAACCUUUACCAGAUGUUAUUUUGCCACUUCACUUUUCUCAUAAAUUAUAUUUCCCAGCUCUCAAACAAAAGGACAUAAAUGCAGCUAUUUACCAUUUGUUUUCACAAUCGGUGAAGAAGAAAAAAACUACUUCUUGAAGUGUUUACGUAGUAUGAUUUAUUUUAUUUGCAGUUGCGGGACGCGUUCCAGCAGCACCGGUAAGAAACACGCCACAUACCUGGAGGCCAUCAAUCUGAGAGCAAUUACAGCAAAACCAACGUCAGGCAAUAUUUGCUGAAAUGGUUUAUAUUGACAAACAUACGGGUAGGAGAGGCACUUAAUGCAAAAAAUAGCAUGUUGCCAGGUACAUUUCUGUGGCUUUCCAACCUUGCAUAUGUACAUACAGUGUGUGUGUGUGUGUGUGUGUGUGUGUGUGUUGACACACACUAGAUAUUUCACAGGCUUGGCAUACUUCCCUUACUUAUGUGUGGUCUUUCUGUAAACACGUCAGCGAAACUCCUCGACUUGCGUGCACAAUAGUACAACUUAUUCUUAUAAACAGCAUCCGCACACACACAUAAUCCAAGUUAGUAAUUAAAAGGAUUCAUCGAGGGAGAUGACCAUCGCCUGAAUUUGAAUGGCAGAGGGAGAAGGAAGAAAGGACAGUUGAUGGCCAACACUAAUACAAAAGUAAUUUACAGAAUAUCGUUGACAAGUAGAAGAAGAGGCCCAAAUGUUUUUUACAAAGCACCAGGUUAAGCACCAUGGGACCGUUGCUCCUGGGGUUACACAAUUCACGACUAGCUGGCAAGUAGUCGACUCGUCGUGUCACGUGAGAAGUAUGUAUAUUUUUUCCCACCGAUAACAAUCGUGAAAGGUCACGUGAUGUAGGCCGGAAUCCGCCUAUCUGCUCCCCCCUGGAGGCUGUUUACAAAUGAGCCGCAGCCUGAUUGUAACAUACUGAGCGGGCUUGUCCGGGCUGGAGCAGCAACCACUGCCUUGGUGGGAUAACGGGAGCCAUUGACACCACUGCAAUACUUCAAACAAUAAACUCCUAGUAUACAACUUUCUGGUGAAUUGUGCUGACCCAAUUUAAUGUGGAAAUAUUCUUAUUGACGUCAAACACGAAAUGCAGCCGCUGACUUGUUUUUUACACUCUGGGCACACGUUUUUUUUGUUUGAUCAGGCUCCUGACUUACUGGACAGUAAGUACAAACCACAGCACAGUUAUUGGUCAUGAUCAGCAACGUCGGCCCGAGAUCAGAAAUCUUGUUUCUGGGAAAAAAAGUUUUUAACCACAACUUUGACGGUUUAGAGGUUUGACUGUCAUUCAGCUGUAAAUCAUGAAUCAAUUAGAUUGAUCAAACAAACUAUGUGUAUCUUUAUCUGCUCCUGUUUUGCAAGCACGGACACAGAACACAUAUUUAACCAUCUUUUCCUUUGGAGAGUAAACGAUUUUUUUCAGUUAAUUUGAAUUUAUUAAAAUCAACUGAAUGGAAAAAAAUGUUCUCCCCGCGCCGCCCCAACAACUCCUCCUCCUCCUCCUUUUUUUGUCGGGGGGGAGUUUUAUGGCUAGAAAAAUAGAAUUUGUGGUUUCGACGGUCGAGGUUUGAUGCAAACGGCUUUGGAACCUUUUAUGCAACCUGGCGUCCAGGAGACUAAAGACAAUAUUUUUCUUUCCACCCUUUUGAGCCUUUUAGCCUCUGCUAGGGGAAAAGGAGAGAGGCGCUGCGAAAAAAAAAAUCUCUCCAAGGUCAAAUGUCCUGAGUGGGAUGACUGCCAGAUCUGCUCCAUAACCACUUUGCACACACACAGUUCCAUGCAGAACACACACCGUUACACACACAGGUGGAAGGACAUAGAACAUGCUGCACACACACACACACACACACACACACACACACACACACACACACACGCACUUCACAACUUUUAUGUGAUGUGGAGUAAAAAAAAUCUCUGAAGAUCUUCAUAAUUUAUUUUUAUGUUGUUAAAUUGUUACGAAUUGACAUCUCUUUAGGGCCGAGUUAGAAACAAUACAAAGUUUACUGUAAAUGCAGAGAGAUGAUGAGAUAAAGGAAAAGAGAGAGAGAGGGAGUUUCCUCAUCACAAUCCUGUCUUUGUGUGCAUUUGAGCAUGUUUUGCUUCCACUGUGCUUUACGCUCAAUGAGUUCAAUCUGUGAUUAUCCACAACGUCAUGUACAAACAUACACGCUCAAACACACACACACACACACACACACACACAUAGCGCACGCUUCCACAAGUGCACGCAUGCUGGGCCCAUAGCCCCCUGUGUGCAAUUAGGAUGCAGAGUUUGUUAGCUCGAUGUGAAGUCCGUUGCUCGGGUCAGGAGCCUGAUGACUUGGUUUGGUGUUUUUUUUGUUGCGCCCGGCCUGCAGAUGAGCCGCUGUAGACGGGGUGGUAUUCACAGCUUUUUUUCUUAUAAUGUAUUUCUAAGUUUAUGUGUAGUGUAGUUCAUUUUAGGCCAUGUCCCUUUGAGGCUCCAUCCCUAAAAGGCCCACGCCACGUGAGUCACAUACACAGGGUUAUUUAGCACUUCUACCGUGCCAGUGAAGUCCUGAAGACCCUUGAACGUGCUAUCUUUAAUCAACUCUCCUCUUAUCUCCACUGUAACAACCUCCUUGACCCCCACCAGUCAGGUUUCAAGGCAGGCCACUCUACAGAGACUGCUCUCCUUGCUGUCUCUGAGCAACUCCACACUGCUAGAGCCGCCUCUCUCUCCUCUGUCCUCAUCCUUCUGGACCUCUCUGCUGCAUUUGACACGGUCAACCACCAGAUCCUUAUUUCCUCCCUUCAGGAACUUGGUGUCACAGGCUCUGCUC